This 135-nucleotide ribosomal RNA is filed under the name uncultured eukaryote. RNAcentral describes it as "partial 18S ribosomal RNA". It matches the Rfam family "Eukaryotic small subunit ribosomal RNA", at positions 1299 to 1458 of the family's 1831-position model. The record is from RNAcentral.
UGGUGGAGCGAUUUGUCUGCUUAAUUGCGAUAACGAACGAGACUCUGGCCUACUAACUAGAAGACAGUUCUUUGAGACUGUCAUACUUCUUAGAGGGAUAAGGGGAUUGAAGCCCCAAGAGAUUGAGCAAUAACA